GAGACUGUAGAUUUGGUUUAGUAAGGGUGGAUUUCCAUACAGAUUAGAGACUGUGUUGAAAUAGAUACUGUAUACUCCUUAUGUGGUCGUAACUCUUAACUCGUCACAGUGGAUAGAGUUGUAUCUCUUGCUCAAAAAAGUCAAGUGGACAUGUAAGCGUACAGGAGUUUGAAUAGUUUUCAACAGACUUGUGGAUUAUGGGGAAUUUUGGUGAGUAAAGGGUCUCUGGAAAAGUUGGAGUUUCUCUCGAAUAAUCCCUGGAUUAAGUUUGUACCUGCAUUGUAUUGAGGAAACAUGAGAGUUCUAUUAUAAAUUAUAUAACCUGAGUCUUGUUCGUCUCUUCUUCAAAUUAGAUAUGCAUAUGGCCAACAUAUAUGAGGUUUUGACGGUUUCUGUUGUGCAAAUGAAAACCAUCCAAGUUAUAUACCUCUUAAGCCUUGUUGUCCCACGUUUUACUCUUUGUCUCUUAUCAUCUACAUUCUACUUGCAGGCCAUAUCAGCUUAUACUUUCCAGGAUCACGAGCUAUCUUCACCGGGGACACUUUGUUUAGCUUAUCAUGUGGUAAACUCUUUGAAGGUACUCCUAAGC
RNAcentral lists this long non-coding RNA (589 nucleotides) under Arabidopsis lyrata. Its description in RNAcentral is "long non-coding RNA (ALYR_LNC002084)". Lineage: Eukaryota; Viridiplantae; Streptophyta; Magnoliopsida; Brassicales; Brassicaceae. The record is from RNAcentral.